AGUGAACGCUGGCGGUAGGCCUAACACAUGCAAGUCGAACGGCAGCACAGUAAGAGCUUGCUCUUACGGGUGGCGAGUGGCGGACGGGUGAGGAAUACAUCGGAAUCUACUUUUUCGUGGGGGAUAACGUAGGGAAACUUACGCUAAUACCGCAUACGACCUACGGGUGAAAGCAGUGGAUCUUCGGACCUUGCGCGAUUGAAUGAGCCGAUGUCGGAUUAGCUAGUUGGCGGGGUAAAGGCCCACCAAGGCGACGAUCCGUAGCUGGUCUGAGAGGAUGAUCAGCCACACUGGAACUGAGACACGGUCCAGACUCCUACGGGAGGCAGCAGUGGGGAAUAUUGGACAAUGGGCGCAAGCCUGCUCCAGCCAUACCGCGUGGGUGAAGAAGGCCUUCGGGUUGUAAAGCCCUUUUGUUGGGAAAGAAAAGCAGCAGGUUAAUACCCCGCUGUUCUGACGGUACCCAAAGAAUAAGCACCGGCUAACUUCGUG
Molecule: ribosomal RNA, 492 nt
Filed under: uncultured bacterium
Lineage: Bacteria
Description: partial 16S ribosomal RNA
Rfam family: Bacterial small subunit ribosomal RNA
Source: RNAcentral